GGCUUUUUGAUUAUAAUUUAAAGUCUGACCUGCCCAAUGAUUUAUUAAAUGGCCGCAGUAUAUUGACUGUGCAAAGGUAGCAUAAUCAUUAGUUUUUUAAUUGAAAGCUUGUAUGAAAGGUUUAAUGAGAAAAAUACUGUCUUUAUUUAAAUUUAUUAGAAUUUUAUUUUUAAGUAAAAAAGCUUAAAUGUUUAUUGAAGACGAGAAGACCCUAUAGAAUUUAAUAUUUUCAUUAUUUUUAUUAAAUUUGGAAUUUUAUAUAUAAAUUUAAUGAAAAUAUUUAGUUGGGGUGAUAAAAAAAUUAAUUAAACUUUUUUUUAAUUUUAACAUGAAUUAAUGAAUAUUUGAUCCUUAUAGUAAAAUUAAGAUAAUAAGAAAAAAUUACCUUAGGGAUAACAGCGUAAUUUUUUUUAGAGUUCUUAUCAAAAAAAAAGAUUGCGACCUCGAUGUUGGAUUAAAAUGAAUUAUUGGUGUAGAAGCUAAUAUUUAAGGUCUGUUCGACCUUUAAAUUUUUACAUGAUCUGAGUUUAAACCGGUGUGAG
RNAcentral lists this ribosomal RNA (542 nucleotides) under Onyxacalles verrucosus. Its description in RNAcentral is "partial 16S ribosomal RNA". The stretch from base 392 to 542 matches the Rfam family "Bacterial large subunit ribosomal RNA", at positions 2473 to 2625 of the family's 2925-position model. Lineage: Eukaryota; Metazoa; Arthropoda; Insecta; Coleoptera; Curculionidae. The record is from RNAcentral.